Mus musculus (house mouse) is the source of this 300-nucleotide non-coding RNA. NCBI's taxonomy places the organism in Eukaryota, Metazoa, Chordata, Mammalia, Rodentia, Muridae. The record is from the annotation of a RefSeq genome assembly.
GAAGUGAAAAUUGAGGAGUCAGGAGGAGGCUUGGUCCAACCUGGAGGAUCCAUGAAACUCUCUUGUGCAGCCUCUGGAUUCACUUUCAGUGAUUACAGGAUGGACUGGGUCCACCACUCUACAGAGAAUGGGUUGGAGUGGGUUGCUGAAAUUAGAAACAAAGCUAGUAAUUAUGCAACAUAUUAUGUGGAGUCUGUGAAUGGGAGGUUCACCAUCUCAAGAGAUGAUUCCAAAAGUAGUGUCUACCUGCAAAUGAACAGCUUAAGAGCUGAAGAUACUGGCAUUUAUUACUGUACAAGG